RNAcentral lists this unclassified non-coding RNA (173 nucleotides) under uncultured fungus. Its description in RNAcentral is "sequence contains ITS1". Lineage: Eukaryota; Fungi. The record is from RNAcentral.
UUGAUAAUUAAAUGUUUAGCUCAGACAACACUAAUAAAGAAUUUUUUCCUCUGACGAGUACAAAGACAAUCGCCAAAGCAACUAAGGUAAUAUAAAGCAUAGGGUUGGAGUUAGUGAGUUUUUAAAACCCACAUUACUCAGUAAUGAUCCUUCCGCAGGUUCACCUACGGAAA